UACGGGGGGAGCAAGCGUUGUUCGGAUUUACUGGGCGUAAAGGGCGGGUAGGCGGCCACCGCAAGUCAGUUGUGAAAUCUCCGGGCUUAACCCGGAAAGGUCAACUGAUACUGCGGGGCUAGAGUGCAGAAGGGGCAACUGGAAUUCUCGGUGUAGCGGUGAAAUGCGUAGAUAUCGAGAGGAACACCUGCGGCGAAGGCGGGUUGCUGGGCUGACACUGACGCUGAAAUGCGAAAGCUAGGGGAGCGAACGGG
This 254-nucleotide ribosomal RNA is filed under the name uncultured bacterium. RNAcentral's name for it is "partial 16S ribosomal RNA". It matches the Rfam family "Bacterial small subunit ribosomal RNA", at positions 524 to 776 of the family's 1533-position model. The record is from RNAcentral.